Non-coding RNA from Ictidomys tridecemlineatus (thirteen-lined ground squirrel), 375 nucleotides. The record is from RefSeq and is a predicted model, not a curated record. Lineage: Eukaryota; Metazoa; Chordata; Mammalia; Rodentia; Sciuridae.
GGACUGACACUGUCCUCCUUCAUGCAGGAGGGCUCUCUCCCUCGACUCCUUCCUCCUCCCCUUUCCUGGAGCACCGGAUGUCUUCCAGGUGACCGUGUGGGAAACAUGUGUUCCCAACUGACCUAGAAGAGAUGAAAGGAACCUAUUAUGUGGAAGAAAUAGAGACAAUCAUCAUGGACAACCUCUUCCACAAAUUAAGUGCCAACAAGUCAAGGUGUUUUCCAGGGACCUCUGCCCAAGGUUUAAAGAGCAGACACUUCCAGCACAGUUAAAACUUCCCCAGAAUGUACAGAAAGAAGAAAAACAUCCGAAUUAUACUUUGUCAUGAAUAGAGCCUUGAAUGAAUCCAAAACAUAAACACAAUAUGGUACUGAA